This 614-nucleotide long non-coding RNA is filed under the name Ananas comosus (pineapple). RNAcentral's name for it is "long non-coding RNA (ACOM_LNC038540)". The record is from RNAcentral. Lineage: Eukaryota; Viridiplantae; Streptophyta; Magnoliopsida; Poales; Bromeliaceae.
AAAUUUCAUAUCCAAAUUUAAAUUUAAGUCAUGAUUUAAACACAAAUUUUAAUUUUAAUUUAAAAAUAAAUAAAUUUAAAUUUAUAUCGAAUAAUUUAAUUUUAACUAUAAAUUUAAGAUGAGAUAAAAAUUUUAAAUUAAAUAAGAUUAACAUUUAUAUGUAUAUUUAGAAUUUAAAUUCAAAUUUGAUUAUUUGUUGCAAUUAACAAAAAGUUAAUGUAACAACUAAAAAUUAUUAUAAUAACUAAACAUUAGUAGAUAGUACUGAGACAAUCUGAAAAUAUCAUCUCAAAAGAAAAGAUAUGGAAUGAUGAUGUUACACCCCAGGUUAGGGUGAACUCUGGGCUCGCCAACAGCUCUGCUGAAUAUAUAAGAAGUUCCAUACAUACGAAUCGUCAGAAAUACCUAUAAACAAUCCUAAAAACUAUCAGAUAUCAGAGCUGAAAUAAAAACAACUAACACGCUAAAAUAUUGUAUAUACAAGAUCCAAAAGUACAACUACAACUCCAAUAGCUGAAAAUAAAAUACAAUAAGCUGGCCAAGUCAGUACCGGUAUGUACAAUAUACUAUCCUUCAAAAAUUAGCCUCUACCGGGUGCACUGCUAACUCGUAUA